GACGAACGCUGGCGGCGUGCUUAACACAUGCAAGUCGAACGGAAAGGCCCUGCUUUUGUGGGGUGCUCGAGUGGCGAACGGGUGAGUAACACGUGAGUAACCUGCCCUUGACUUUGGGAUAACUUCAGGAAACUGGGGCUAUUACCGGAUAGGAGCUCUUGCUGCAUGGUGGGGGUUGGAAAGUUUCGGCGGUUGGGGAUGGACUCGCGGCUUACCAGCUGGUUGGGGGGGUAGUGGCUUACCAAGGCUUUGACGGGUAGCCGGCCUGAGAGGGUGACCGGCCACAUUGGGACUGAGAUACGGCCCAGACUCCUACGGGAGGCAGCAGUGGGGAAUAUUGCACAAUGGGCGGAAGCCUGAUGCAGCAACGCCGCGUGCGGGAUGACGGCCUUCGGGUUGUAAACCGCUUUCGCCUGUGACGAAGCGUGAGUGACGGUAAUGGGUAAAGAAGCACCGGCUAACUACGUG
Molecule: ribosomal RNA, 468 nt
Filed under: uncultured bacterium
Lineage: Bacteria
Description: partial 16S ribosomal RNA
Rfam family: Bacterial small subunit ribosomal RNA
Source: RNAcentral